AUGGACAGAUACACCAAAAGCAGGAGGAAGCGUGGGUUAAUAUGUGGAUUGAUACUGGGAUGUCUACACAACUGUGUGAGUCGAUUGACUUCCAAAAGUUUGCAGCUUUACUCAAACCAAAGUUGCCACCAAAUAACCAAACUUUAUUUUCACUGCCCAGUUUCGCCUCACUGCGAUCGAUGUGGUGAGCGUACUGCGUACCGUCAUAAAGUGCCUCACAGACAUAACCAGGAACGUUGUCCUGCACCAGCUGGCAGUGAAAAGCCGCAAGAUGGCCAGGAUAAUAUCCUGCGAGGACCUGAAGUGGUGCCAGGAGGGGGCCAAACUGGGGGUUCCAAAGCUGCUUGGGAACACAAGACAAGUCAUUUGGGGCGGCCCAAAUGUUCUUGGAGACUGACGAGUUUCGCUGGCUGGAGAGGUGGCUGCAGCUGCGGAAGGCCAGCAAGCCACUGAACCAGCUGGUUUUUUUCACGGCUAAGAAGGGCCCAUGCUAAAACUUCUUGCACCACCUGCAGGACGCGUGGGCGGAGAUGGGCCUUAAAGGGUCCCCGAAUUUCACCGACCUAAGGACCGCUGUGUCUGCUCAUGUGAGUUCUCCUCAGUCACUCAUCUGUUAAUGCUGGAUUUCAUUAAAACUCUGCUGGCUGUAGCAAUCUUUUCUCUUCUACUGUUUUAAGGCAAAGAACAACCUGUCUGCCGAGCAGCAGAAGAUGGUGGCCACCUUUAUGUGCAACAACACGGCCACCGCUGACUGCUUCUACGCCCUCAUCCUUUCCGCCAGGCCCUCACCCACACCAUGCCAUCACCAGAGUCACCAGAAGCCUCCACCACCAGGAAGAGGUCCCGCAAUCCUGAUUCCUCCUCCAGUUCCGAGGACGAAACCCCUGUCCCCUACCAGGAGUCAGGGACCUCGGGACUGAAGGAGGAGAGGGAGUUUAUAGCGAGGCUGCAAAAUGUAAGUAAAACUCUAAGAUAUGUACUUUAAAGACUCCAUUUCAUGUCAGUUACAUCAGACCUCACUCUGUGUUUUGUGUUUGUUUUCCUCAACAGACACCAGAGAAGGCCCUCAGGACGAGCCAGUACGGCAGGCUGGUGGCGCUGACUGCGCUCGAGGCUCAACUCAACCUGUCUAAAAAGAUUUCAGAGAGGGCGAGAAGGGCAGCGUAUCGAGCAGUCAUCGGACUCUAACAUCUCUUGAUCUGUGCAGGACUUCAGUGUGAGCGGACUAUUUAGAGACGAUGUGACCGGCAGGUAAUGUUAACGGCUAUCUGCUACUGUAGCAGAGCUGCAAGUAAACGCUGAACUGAGCUGUGUGUUUUCAGUGUUAAACAUUGCUGCAGGUUUUCAUGCAUGACUGUUAUUGGUGAUUUCCAGAGGUGGAAGACUUACUCAGAUCAUGUAUUGCAGUAAAAGUAGAAAAAACUGUGUUGUACAGUUACAAGUUACUUGUCAGUUACAAGUCCUGCAUUCAACAUCUCCCUUAAGUUAAAGUACAAAAGUAUUAUCAAAAUAUACUUAAAGUACCAAAAGUAAAAGUAAAAUUAUGCAGUGUAAUAUAUCUUAUUUAAUUCGAUUAUAUUAUUAUCC
Sander lucioperca (pikeperch) is the source of this 1587-nucleotide long non-coding RNA. NCBI's taxonomy places the organism in Eukaryota, Metazoa, Chordata, Actinopteri, Perciformes, Percidae. The record is from Ensembl.